CAGUAGUUUUUUAAUUGAAAACUUGUAUGAAUGGUUGAACGAAAUAUUAGCUGUUUCAUAAAAAUAUUUAGAAAUUAACUUUUUAGUAAAAAGGCUAAAAUUGUUUUAAAAGACGAGAAGACCCUAUAGAGUUUUAUAUUUUUUUGUAUUUAAUUUAUUUAGAAUAAUUAAAUUUUUGUUUAAUAAAAUAUUUUAUUGGGGUGAUAUUAAAAUUUAAAAAACUUUUAUUAAUAAAUUACAUUUAUUUAUGAAUAAUUGAUCCAAUUUUAUUGAUUAUAAGAUUAAAUUACCUUAGGGAUAACAGCGUAAUAUUUUUUUAGAGUUCUUAUCGAUAAAAAAUUUUGC
RNAcentral lists this ribosomal RNA (345 nucleotides) under Polylepta guttiventris. RNAcentral's name for it is "partial 16S ribosomal RNA". Lineage: Eukaryota; Metazoa; Arthropoda; Insecta; Diptera; Mycetophilidae. The record is from RNAcentral.